This 216-nucleotide ribosomal RNA is filed under the name Glomeromycotina sp. Its description in RNAcentral is "partial small subunit ribosomal RNA". The stretch from base 87 to 216 matches the Rfam family "Eukaryotic small subunit ribosomal RNA", at positions 733 to 864 of the family's 1831-position model. Lineage: Eukaryota; Fungi; Glomeromycota. The record is from RNAcentral.
GGGUCAGUAGGUUGGUCGUGCCACCGGUACGUACUGGUCUCACUGAUUCCUCCUUCCUGAAGAACCGUAAUGCCACUAAUUUGGUGUUGCGGGGAAACAGGACUGUUACUUUGAAAAAAUUAGAGUGUUUAAAGCAAGCUAACGCUUGAAUACAUUAGCAUGGAAUAAUGAAAUAGGACGAUCGAUCCUAUUUUGUUGGUUUCUAGGAUUGACGCA